GACUCAUGUCUAAAUUAUGAUUUGUCUCUUUCUUUAGGUACUCUCCAGAAAAAGGUUCAGAGUUGAAAAAAAAAUACAAAAACAACAUGGGAUAUGGUAUUGAUGUGCUCUCCCACCAGCAAAAAUCUGGAAUAGUUUACGUUUAAGUUGCACAGGAUUUCUACUUACAUAAAUGAAGUUCAUGGUACAUCCACACUUAUGAUUUGUCAUUUCCUAUUUCAUAUCCCUUUCAUAUGUGUCCUGAGUGAUCUAAAACAUAUUCCUUGUUAUCAGAACGAACUGAAACUUUGUUUCUUGAAAUUUUCAUUUCCCUCUUCACCUAUCAUCUAUUUAUACUGCUGCAGACAUACAACUUGUCCUACCAUCUGUUUGUUUCAGAUUACUACAUGCUUACUACAAAUAUUGCCAUUCUGUAACUUCUUCCCUUUAGUCCUUUUAGACAGUAUGAAGUCUCCUACACAUUUCCACUCAUUUUUCCAUCAGUGGAUUGACCAGUCUUUUCAGUGAAAGAUGUUCCAUUCCAUUUGAAAUGUUCUAUUAGCCCAUCUAAUGGGCUAAUGCUCAACUAGUGCUCACUAGAAACAUAAAAUAAAUAUUUUUUUUCAUUA
Molecule: long non-coding RNA, 608 nt
Organism: Gallus gallus (chicken)
Lineage: Eukaryota; Metazoa; Chordata; Aves; Galliformes; Phasianidae
Exons: 2
Source: RefSeq, a predicted model, not a curated record